Molecule: non-coding RNA, 71 nt
Organism: Phrynosoma platyrhinos (Desert horned lizard)
Lineage: Eukaryota; Metazoa; Chordata; Lepidosauria; Squamata; Phrynosomatidae
Source: the annotation of a GenBank genome assembly
GCAGCGUAGCGUAGUGGUUUGAGCGCUGGACUACGACUCUGGAGACCAGGAUUCGAUUCCCUGCUUUGACA